CUCAUUAGUUAUAUGUGAUUUCUGGGCAGGGCUCAAGCUUAACAGCUAAAUCGUAUAGAGGAAUUUGUAAUGAACAAACUCCAGUUGUAGUCACACUGAAGACAAGGAUGAAUUCGCAGCUCGAAGAGAACACAUCGCGAUUAAGUUUUUGAAUUGGGAGCCUUUUUUUUACUUUAAGCUAAAAUAAUAGUUUGUUUGACUAUGUUGGACACCAUGUUGUUGCUGGCGAUGUACCGAAACUGUAUGAAUUUAGCUUUCCUCAGAGAGUUCAAAAUAAAAAAACCCAAUUUACAAAUUUUGAUUUAUGCCACGG
This 313-nucleotide unclassified non-coding RNA is filed under the name Drosophila yakuba. Its description in RNAcentral is "GE28578". Lineage: Eukaryota; Metazoa; Arthropoda; Insecta; Diptera; Drosophilidae. The record is from RNAcentral.